Molecule: non-coding RNA, 4033 nt
Organism: Phascolarctos cinereus (koala)
Lineage: Eukaryota; Metazoa; Chordata; Mammalia; Diprotodontia; Phascolarctidae
Source: RefSeq, a predicted model, not a curated record
GACUAAUGUGGAAAUAUGUUUAACAUGACUGUACACACAUGUAUGGCCUGUAUCAGUUUGCUCCCUGUCUUGGGAAGGGCGGACUGAGGAGGGGAGGGAGGGAGAAAAAUUUGGAACUCAGAAUCUUACAGAAAUGAACGCUGAAAACUCUUUACAUGGGAUUGGAAAAAAAUACUAUGGAGGAAAAAGCCCAGUGCCCGCCCCAGGCCUCUUCCAUGAUGGCAGAUCUCCAAGACAGUGAUGAGCAUUAAGGACUAUAGCUGGCCAGAGACCGGACCGAGCGAAGGGAGCCUCGCGGCACCCGGCUCUGACUACAUGUGGGUACGAGGACAAACUUGAGACACACGUGGCACGGCACGGCAUUGGCGCUAGGGUCUGUUGUACUUGAUGCCGGCGGCGAGUCACCCUCCCCACGCCUGGGCUGAUUCCAAGCCUCACUGGAAGAAUUCCAGGCUCAUCCGCCAUCUUGGGGGCUGCUUUGUCAACGGGCGAGCUGCCCGGCCUCUUCCAUCAGCCAGGGACCGGCCAAUGCCAAGAUGUCGGAGCAGGGCUCUGUUACCUGGGGGUAGGGCCCCGCGAUCGCAGUGGGGCUGAUGGUGAGCUAGAUGAGCUUCUCCUGACUGUCCCUGGACUUGGAGACGUACUGGUCACGGGUAGCUGCAGUUCCUCUGUCCUCAGAGAUCUCAGAGCACGAGUCAAUAGGAAGGGAGCCCAAACCUCAGCGGGCAGGGCAUAAAGCCUGUGGCAUUAUUUUUUUUUUUAAAUUUCCAGACAAGUUUAUUUUAAAUUAAAAAAAACCCUUUAAACAGAUAGACAGAAACAAUGAUUCCUCAGCACUUACAAAGGUACCCUUCUCUUUUCUUAGGUCCCUUAAUGAACAAUAACCCCUAUCAUACUCUAACUGUAGUCUAAUUAUCUAGGGACUCCCAUUAACGGUCAGAUCUCAACAUGUAAAGAUCAGCUACACACUGGGGAACAGACUAAGGGACUGAAUUGGGUUCAAGGAUACUAAGAAACAACAGCUCAUAUAUUUUAUGAAGAAACAGAUUCGAUUCCCUGAUCUGUCGUACACUUUCCCCUUGAGCCCAGUGGUGUAAGUUUAAAUUAGUGAUUACCAGGAAAACAACUGUGGCAAAUGAUUCUCCUCUUAUGGGCCUCGGAACACUUACAUAUUAGCUACGUUUCAGCUCCAGCUUCAGAUUCAUAAAGUGCUUACAGUCACAGUGCCCAGCAUGUACUACGUACUAUAAGAAUGCUCAUUCCCUUCCUCUCCUUUUUCUAGGCUCUAGCUGCUAAUGAAGCCCUCCUGAGCUUCUUCCAUAUUUUCUUCUACCCUUACUCAAUUUCUGUCCAGUUUCCAAGAUCACAUGUACUAUUUAACACCCAGAGUUAUAGCUUCAUGUUCCUUGACAGGCUGCCUUAUAUGCUGGCAGAGAAGCCAGCUACUACAAUGUUCUGUCCAGUGAUGAAGCUGGAAUCUGGAGAACACAGGAAAGACACAAGCCCUGCACAUUCUUCUGGUUGUCCAAUCCUCUGCAUUCCAAAUAGUUUCUUAACUGGCUCUAUCAAGUUUUCUUCUUCUUGGACCACCACAUUGCUGAAGUCAGUGUCGAUAAUACUGGGAACAAUGGUGUCCUUCUUGGUAGGACUGGAGGCAGACACCCAAAGCCACGCGCCGGCUCUGCUGCUGUUUUUGUUCUGGUCAGAGGUUGUGGGUCCCCCGAGGAGGGCGAAGUGUUGCCCUGGACAGCUCACUGCCGGUCAGAGCCAACCUCUCUGGACAUUGUAUUUCCUGGGUCUCUCCCUUGGUCUGAGUGGGUCCUGGCAGGAAGUCCACACACUGAGAAAACCUCCCCCCAUGACACUCGGGCCACACCUGAGGCUUUCUAGUUCCUCGUGGGCUAUGUUUGGGGGUGUCACGCAGCAUCCGUCGCCACCAGUCUGUGACUUACGUUCUUGCUGUCUCUGCCCAGAGAAGGGAAGUCGGGCAGCUGAGUUCCAGAGGUUUGCUUUUACUUGUAUUCUUCCAGUAAGUGCCGGCGUCUGCAGCUCUUUGUAUGCCAGGACCCCAGGCCUCCACUUCUUGGUGAUACCCCUGCUGCCAUGCUGGGCCCGCACAAUCCGUUUCUGUCCAGCUUGGGAGCCGUUCUUGUGCAGAAUCACCUGGUUGAGCUUUCACGGCCACAGCCUGGGGCUGUAUCACCCGCCUCCUGGUGCCAUGAGGGGGCUCAGUCGCUGUGGUCAGCUCCCACUUCUGCCGACAGGCCUCCAAAGACGCCCUCUGGGGUCCUCUGCCACCACCACCUCACAGCUUGGCCUGAGCCUUCUCAGCUGCCUGCCCCCUUCCCCAGUCACCCACCUACCACUGCGGCGAGGCAGGCUGGUUCAGUGAAGGAGACUGGCGUCCCUCCACAGCUGCCAUGGAGCCUUCCCCGCAUACCCUCGUCUGCUGGCGGUUCGGGUAGCGUUAGCCCAGCUCCGCUGUCCUACGGUCCCUGCAGUGACACGAUGGCUGGGGCAGAAUGAACUAGAGCUGCCUGUGAUCUCUGCCCUUCCCCCAGAAAGUCCCCAGCCGUCAGGUGCCUUUGCUCCAUAUCAACUGAUGGCUCCUGCUUGCAAAUGGGCUGCCUACACUUCUGCUGGUCUCCCCUGACCCUCAGUGUCUCAAGCUGUCCAAGCUGGCAUUUGUCUGCAGCACCAAAGGCCCGCCCCCCCCACAUCUGUGUGCCCAUUAGCCCCCAAAGGGCUUUGUUGGCUCCAGGAGCACUCGGGGAACCCUCCCGGUGCCCUCCUCUCUUCUUCACCUUCCACGGCUCUUUCUCAGGCUCCCCCCCGGCCCUAAAAACAUGCCAGGUUCCCUGGCUUCAGAAGGUGAACAAAAACUACACAUCCGAGGCAUCCGGGUGAGUCCAGUGCACCCUCUCACCAUUUGGAGCAGGGGUGACACUCAGAAAACAGCCCAGACUGAGGGAAAAGGGGGGGCAGGCUAAGAAGACCUCCCCAAAGGGAAGGGCUCUUUCCAACCAAGUCAGAGAAGAGCCUCGGGGAAGCUGAUAGGAUCUGGUCAGAUCCUUCCUAGCUCGGGGAGCCUGGGUGAGUCAUUUCACUGCAGCCUGCCUCAGUUUCCUCUCUUGUAAAAUAUACCAUCUACCUUGAAAUAUGAGCAUCAUAAUUGUCAAGUGCUUAAAGGCAAGAUUGCCUGGCAUACAGUAGGUGCUUAAUAAAUGCUUGUUUUACAACAGCAGCAGCCAGCAUGAACACAGGAGGCAGAAGGGAGUUCCACCCACCCAGGCUCUGAUUCCUUAGCUGCUGUUCUGUACACCCUGGGAUGCCAAGGGGAACAUGUCGCUCCAAGGCUCCAGCAGCCUCUGGGGCUCAGGUCCGAUAGUACCUCCUCCCAUGGGAGCACCCUCUCAGCACGCACAUUCUCUGGGGGCCUUUUGGGGACUCAAAGGUCCUGGAGGACACGGGCCAUCUGUCUUCCAUGCCUGGGUCCCCAUCCCCGGCACAGGCUAAAUGUUUAGUGGGUGGAGGGUGAUUGGAGAGAAGGGAGGGCCAGCAGGCUCCUUAUAGGAGUGGUUAGAAAAGCCCUGUGAGUCUCCAGAGCCUGAGCUGUCCCCGCUGUAGUCUGGGCAGGCCUGGGGAGGGCCUGGCUUCCCUUGGGAGAGGAGAGUUACUGGGGCCCUGUGUUGGGCCCCAAUCCUGUCUUUCACGGAAGGUCUCCUUCCUAGCUCAGUCUGGGCCCAAGCCUGCCUCCACUUCCCCAUCUUAUUUGCAUGCAUUGUGGUGGCUGGCCAUGCUAUUGGGGGUGGGAGGGGCCCCAGCUUAGCCCCAAAGGCUGCCCCCGGGAAACUCAGGCAGUCCCAGCCUGCUCUGCCUCCUGACAGCCAUGACCCCCCACCUGCUGGCUCUGCUCUUGGCCAACGCUGUGGCAACCCUCCUGGCAACGCGGUAAUAAUCCACUGGAUUGGUGUUGUGGAUUGAAGUCAGGAAGACCCACCUCGCUGAGUUCAACCCACACUAGCUGUGUAAC